This 545-nucleotide ribosomal RNA is filed under the name uncultured methanogenic archaeon. RNAcentral's name for it is "bacterial SSU rRNA". It matches the Rfam family "Archaeal small subunit ribosomal RNA", at positions 331 to 875 of the family's 1478-position model. The record is from RNAcentral. Lineage: Archaea; Methanobacteriati; Methanobacteriota.
AGCAGCAGGCGCGUCAACUUUACAAUACGGGAAACCGUGAUAAGGGAACUCCGAGUGUCCGUAAAUGCGGACUGUCCGUAUGUAUAAAUAGCAUGCGAAGAAAGGCCCGGGCAAGACCGGUGCCAGCCGCCGCGGUAAGACCGUCGGCUCGAGUGGUGUCCACUAUCACUGGGCCCAAAGCGCUUCGAACCUGGGCUGGUGUAGUCUCUAGGGAAAUGAGCCGUGCUUACCGAUAGGAGUACAGGGAUAUAUGGCAAUAUAGGGACCGGGAGAGUUGAGGGGUAUUUAAGGGGUAGGAGCGAAAUCCUGUAAUCCUUGGGGGACCACCUGUGGCGUAGGCGCCUCACCAGAACGGCUCCGACAGUGAGGGACGAAAGAUGGGGGAGCACACCGGAUCAGAUACCCGGGUAGUCCCAGCCGUAAACGAUGCGCGUCAGCGCUGUAUCGAUGACCACGAGUUAUCGAGGUGCCGAAGGGAAACCGUGAAACGCGCCGCUUGGGAAGUACGGUCGCAAGGCUGAAACUUAAAGGAAUUCGGCGGGGGA